Molecule: transfer RNA, 66 nt
Filed under: Oomorphoides metallicus
Lineage: Eukaryota; Metazoa; Arthropoda; Insecta; Coleoptera; Chrysomelidae
Description: tRNA-Val
Source: RNAcentral
CAGAUUAGAGCUUGAUUAGAGCAUUUUAUUUACAUUAAAAGGGUGGGUUUUAACUUUUAUCUGAAG